AGAGCCUUCGGGCAGAUGAAGCGUAAACUUAGCGGGCGGACGGGUGAGUAACGCGUGGGCAACCAACCUUGAUCAGGGGGACAACACUGGGAAACCAGUGCUAAUACCGCAUGACUCUACCGGGUGGCAUCACCGGGUAGAGAAAGAUUUAUCGGAUCAAGACGGGCCCGCGUCUGAUUAGCUAGUUGGUGGGGUAAAGGCCCACCAAGGCAAUGAUCAGUAGCCGACCUGAGAGGGUGACCGGCCACACUGGAACUGAGACACGGUCCAGACUCCUACGGGAGGCAGCAGUGGGGAAUAUUGCACAAUGGGCGCAAGCCUGAUGCAGCAACGCCGCGUGAGCGAAGAAGGCCUUCGGGUACGUAAAGCUCUGUCCUAUGGGAAGAAGAAGUGACGGUACCAUAGGAGGGAAGCCCCGGCGUAA
RNAcentral lists this ribosomal RNA (424 nucleotides) under uncultured Clostridiaceae bacterium. RNAcentral's name for it is "bacterial SSU rRNA". It matches the Rfam family "Bacterial small subunit ribosomal RNA", at positions 69 to 501 of the family's 1533-position model. Lineage: Bacteria; Bacillati; Bacillota; Clostridia; Eubacteriales; Clostridiaceae. The record is from RNAcentral.